Molecule: microRNA precursor, 97 nt
Filed under: Oryza punctata
Lineage: Eukaryota; Viridiplantae; Streptophyta; Magnoliopsida; Poales; Poaceae
Description: pre miRNA MIR439
Source: RNAcentral
ACAGGACCUGUCGAACAGAGGCUGUUCGAUAGGACCCCAGUCGAACUGGGGCUGUUCGAUAGGCGUACCUGUCGAACUGGCGCAGUUCGACAGGCCG